RNAcentral lists this ribosomal RNA (2916 nucleotides) under Vibrio parahaemolyticus. RNAcentral's name for it is "23S ribosomal RNA". It matches the Rfam family "Bacterial large subunit ribosomal RNA". Lineage: Bacteria; Pseudomonadati; Pseudomonadota; Gammaproteobacteria; Vibrionales; Vibrionaceae. The record is from RNAcentral.
GUUGUAUGGUUAAGUGACUAAGCGUACACGGUGGAUGCCUUGGCAGUCAGAGGCGAUGAAAGACGUAGUAACUUGCGAUAAGCCCAGAUUAGGUAGUAACAACCAUUUGAGUCUGGGAUUUCUGAAUGGGGAAACCCACGUGCAUAAGCACGUAUCCUUACCUGAAUACAUAGGGUAAGGAGGCGAACCGGGGGAACUGAAACAUCUAAGUACCCCGAGGAAAAGAAAUCAACCGAGAUUCCGAAAGUAGCGGCGAGCGAAAUUGGACUAGCCCUUAAGCUUUACACGCGUUAGACAAACGGUCUGGAAAGUCCGACGAUACAGGGUGAUAGUCCCGUAGUUGACGACGUGUGUUCAGUGAAAUCGAGUAGGGCGGGACACGUGAUAUCCUGUCUGAAUAUGGGGGGACCAUCCUCCAAGGCUAAAUACUACUGACUGACCGAUAGUGAACCAGUACCGUGAGGGAAAGGCGAAAAGAACCCCUGUGAGGGGAGUGAAAUAGAACCUGAAACCGUGUACGUACAAGCAGUAGGAGCAGGCUUUGUCCUGUGACUGCGUACCUUUUGUAUAAUGGGUCAGCGACUUAUAUUCAGUGGCAAGGUUAACCAUCUAGGGGAGCCGUAGGGAAACCGAGUCUUAACUGGGCGUUCAGUCUCUGGAUAUAGACCCGAAACCAGGUGAUCUAGCCAUGGGCAGGUUGAAGGUUGAGUAACAUCAACUGGAGGACCGAACCGACUAAUGUUGAAAAAUUAGCGGAUGACUUGUGGCUAGGGGUGAAAGGCCAAUCAAACCUGGAGAUAGCUGGUUCUCCCCGAAAGCUAUUUAGGUAGCGCCUCGGACGAAUACUACUGGGGGUAGAGCACUGUUAAGGCUAGGGGGUCAUCCCGACUUACCAACCCUUUGCAAACUCCGAAUACCAGUAAGUACUAUCCGGGAGACACACGGCGGGUGCUAACGUCCGUCGUGGAGAGGGAAACAACCCAGACCGCCAGCUAAGGUCCCAAAUUACUACUAAGUGGGAAACGAUGUGGGAAGGCUCAGACAGCCAGGAUGUUGGCUUAGAAGCAGCCAUCAUUUAAAGAAAGCGUAAUAGCUCACUGGUCGAGUCGGCCUGCGCGGAAGAUGUAACGGGGCUAAGUAGUAAACCGAAGCUGCGGCAAUAUACUUUUGUAUAUUGGGUAGGGGAGCGUUCUGUAAGCGGUUGAAGGUGUGUGGUAACGCAUGCUGGACGUAUCAGAAGUGCGAAUGCUGACAUGAGUAACGAUAAAGGGGGUGAAAAACCUCCUCGCCGGAAGACCAAGGGUUCCUGUCCAACGUUAAUCGGGGCAGGGUAAGUCGACCCCUAAGGCGAGGCCGAAAGGCGUAGUCGAUGGGAAACGGGUUAAUAUUCCCGUACUUCUUACAAUUGCGAUGGGGGGACGGAGAAGGCUAGGUGGGCCUGGCGACGGUUGUCCAGGUUCAAGUGCGUAGGCUUAAGAGUUAGGUAAAUCCGGCUCUUUCUAAGGCUGAGACACGACGUCGAGCACCUACGGGUGUGAAGUCAUUGAUGCCAUGCUUCCAGGAAAAGCCUCUAAGCUUCAGAUUGUAAGGAAUCGUACCCCAAACCGACACAGGUGGUCGGGUAGAGAAUACCAAGGCGCUUGAGAGAACUCGGGUGAAGGAACUAGGCAAAAUGGUACCGUAACUUCGGGAGAAGGUACGCUCUUGAUGGUGAAGUCCCUUGCGGAUGGAGCUGACGAGAGUCGCAGAUACCAGGUGGCUGCAACUGUUUAUUAAAAACACAGCACUGUGCAAAAUCGUAAGAUGACGUAUACGGUGUGACGCCUGCCCGGUGCCGGAAGGUUAAUUGAUGGGGUUAGACUUCGGUCGAAGCUCUUGAUCGAAGCCCCGGUAAACGGCGGCCGUAACUAUAACGGUCCUAAGGUAGCGAAAUUCCUUGUCGGGUAAGUUCCGACCUGCACGAAUGGCGUAAUGAUGGCCACGCUGUCUCCACCCGAGACUCAGUGAAAUUGAAAUCGCUGUGAAGAUGCAGUGUACCCGCGGCUAGACGGAAAGACCCCGUGAACCUUUACUACAGCUUGGCACUGAACAUUGACCCUACAUGUGUAGGAUAGGUGGGAGGCUUUGAAGCACGUACGCCAGUAUGUGUGGAGCCGUCCUUGAAAUACCACCCUUGUAGUGUUGAUGUUCUAACGUCGACCCCUAAUCGGGGUUGCGGACAGUGCCUGGUGGGUAGUUUGACUGGGGCGGUCUCCUCCCAAAGAGUAACGGAGGAGCACGAAGGUGGGCUAAUCACGGUUGGACAUCGUGAGGUUAGUGCAAUGGCAUAAGCCCGCUUGACUGCGAGAAUGACAAUUCGAGCAGGUGCGAAAGCAGGUCAUAGUGAUCCGGUGGUUCUGAAUGGAAGGGCCAUCGCUCAACGGAUAAAAGGUACUCCGGGGAUAACAGGCUGAUACCGCCCAAGAGUUCAUAUCGACGGCGGUGUUUGGCACCUCGAUGUCGGCUCAUCACAUCCUGGGGCUGAAGUCGGUCCCAAGGGUAUGGCUGUUCGCCAUUUAAAGUGGUACGCGAGCUGGGUUUAGAACGUCGUGAGACAGUUCGGUCCCUAUCUGCCGUGGGCGUUGGAAGAUUGAAGGGGGCUGCUCCUAGUACGAGAGGACCGGAGUGGACGAACCUCUGGUGUUCGGGUUGUGUCGCCAGACGCAUUGCCCGGUAGCUAAGUUCGGAAUCGAUAACCGCUGAAAGCAUCUAAGCGGGAAGCGAGCCCUGAGAUGAGUCUUCCCUGAUACUUUAAGUAUCCUAAAGGGUUGUCGGAGACUACGACGUUGAUAGGUCAGGUGUGUAAGUGCUGUGAGGCAUUGAGCUAACUGAUACUAAUUGCCCGUGAGGCUUAACCAUACAACACCCAAGGGGUUU